This 124-nucleotide ribosomal RNA is filed under the name Anopheles fluviatilis. Its description in RNAcentral is "partial 5.8S ribosomal RNA". It matches the Rfam family "5.8S ribosomal RNA", at positions 38 to 154 of the family's 154-position model. Rfam says of the family: 5.8S ribosomal RNA (5.8S rRNA) is a component of the large subunit of the eukaryotic ribosome. It is transcribed by RNA polymerase I as part of the 45S precursor that also contains 18S and 28S rRNA. Lineage: Eukaryota; Metazoa; Arthropoda; Insecta; Diptera; Culicidae. The record is from RNAcentral.
GAAGACCGCAAGCUAAACGCGCGUCUGAAUGUGAACUGCAGGACACAUGAACACCGACACGUUGAACGCAUAUGGCGCAUCGGACGUUUAAACCCGACCGAUGUACACAUUCUUGAGUGCCUAC